This 468-nucleotide ribosomal RNA is filed under the name uncultured bacterium. Its description in RNAcentral is "partial 16S ribosomal RNA". It matches the Rfam family "Bacterial small subunit ribosomal RNA", at positions 28 to 507 of the family's 1533-position model. The record is from RNAcentral.
GACGAACGCUGGCGGCGUGCUUAACACAUGCAAGUCGAACGGAAAGGCCCUGCUCUUGUGGGGUGCUCGAGUGGCGAACGGGUGAGUAACACGUGAGUAACCUGCCCUUGACUUUGGGAUAACUUCAGGAAACUGGGGCUAAUACCGGAUAGGAGCUCCUGCUGCAUGGUGGGGGUUGGAAAGUUUCGGCGGUUGGGGAUGGACUCGCGGCUUAUCAGCUUGUUGGUGGGGUAGUGGCUUACAAAGGGUUUGACGGGUAGCCGGCCUGAGAGGGUGACCGGCCACAUGGGGACUGAGAUACGGCCCAGACUCCUACGUGAGGCAGCAGUGGGGAAUAUUGCACAAUGGGCGGAAGCCUGAUGCAGCAACGCCGCGUGCGGGAUGACGGCCUUCGGGUUGUAAACCGCUUUCGCCUGUGACGAAGCGUGAGUGACGGUAAUUGGUAAAGAAGCACCGGCUAGCUACGUG